AUUGAACGCUGGCGGCAGGCCUAACACAUGCAAGUCGAACGAGUGGCGGACGGGUGAGUAAUGUCUGGGAAACUGCCUGAUGGAGGGGGAUAACUACUGGAAAAGGUAGCUAAUACCGCAUACCAUCAGAUGUGCCCAGCGGGGAUUGGCUGGUAGGUGGGGUAACGGCUCACCUAGGCGACGAUCCCUAACUGGUCUGAGAGGAUGACCAGCCACACUGGAACUGUGACACGGUCCAGACUCCUACGGGAGGCAGCAGUGGGGAAUAUUGCACAAUGGGGGCAAGCCUGAUGCAGCCAUGCCGCGUGUGUGAAGAAGGCCUUCGGGUUGUAAAGCACUUUCAGCGGGGAGGCGUUACCCGCAGAAGAAGCACCGGCUAACUCCGUGCCAGCAGCCGCGGUAUAC
RNAcentral lists this ribosomal RNA (405 nucleotides) under uncultured bacterium. Its description in RNAcentral is "partial 16S ribosomal RNA". It matches the Rfam family "Bacterial small subunit ribosomal RNA", at positions 30 to 526 of the family's 1533-position model. The record is from RNAcentral.